CAAGGUCAUGAAUGGGACACAGCACCCCAGCAUAUCCUUCUCUUCAUAAGAGAGACAAGUUGUCUCUCUGUUGCCCAGGCUGGAAUGCAGUGGUGUAAGCGCGUCCGGGAUUGGCGGGUUCUUGGUCCCGCUGACUUCAAGACUGAAGCCGCCGACCCUCGCGGUGAGUGUUACAGUUCUUAAAGAUGGUGUGUCCGGAGUUUGUUCCUUCAGAUGUUCAGAUGUGUCCGGAGUUUCUUCCUUCUGGUGGGUUCGUGGUCUCGCUGACUUCAGGAGUGAAACUGCAGACCUUUGCGGUGAGUGUUACAGCUCUUAAAGGCUGCGUGUCUGGAAUUGUUCGUUCCUUCUGGUGGGCUCGUGGUCUCACUGGCCUCAAGAGUGAAACCGCAGACCUUCGCAGUGAGUGUUACAGUUCAUAAAGGUGGCGCGGCCAGAGUUGUCCGUUCCUCCCGUCCCUCCCGGUGGGUUUGUGGUCUCGGUGGCUUCAGGAGUGAAGCUGCAAACCUUCGCAGUGAGUGUUACAGCAGCACAGACCCAAAGAGUGAGCAGCAGCAAAAUUUAUUGGGAAGAGCAAAAGAAUACAGCAUGGAAGGGGACCCCAGCGGGUUGCCACUCCUGGCUAGGUGGACUGCUUUUAUUCCCUUAUCUGGUCCCACCCACAUCCUGCUGAUUGGUCCAUUUUACAGAGAGUUGAUUGGUCCGUUUUAACAGAGUGCUGAUUGGUGCGUUUACAAACCUUUAGCUAGACACAGAGUGCUGAUUACUGCAGUUUACAAUCCUUUAGCUAGACAGAAAAGUUCUCCAAGUCCCCACCCCUCCCAGAAGCCCAGCCGGCUUCACCUCUCACCAGAAGCCCCGCCGGCUUCACCUCUCACCAGAAGCCCCGCCGGCUUCACCUCUCACCAGCACUUGCCGCGGGACUUUGUGGCACCUAGCCCAGGCACUCCGGCAGCCCAGAGGGAGCUCGUCGCCCCCCCCAUCAAGCCCCGCAGGCCCCCGCCGGCUGUGCGGGGCCAAGAAGCCUCCGCCCACCCAGAACCCAUGCCGGCCCACGAGUGCUGGGCGCAGCCCCAGCUCCUGCCCGCGUCUCUCCCUCCACACCUCUCCGCGAACAGAGGGAGCUGGCUCCAGCCUCGGCCGGCCCCAGAGAGGGGCCCCCACAGCGCAGUGACGGGCUGAAGGGCUCCUCAAGCGCAGCCAGAGCGGACGCGGAGGCCAAGGAGGCGCCCAGAGCGAGCGACGGCCGCCAGCACGUUAUCACCUCUCAAUGCCUGGCUUAUUUUAUUUUAUUUUAUUUUUAGUAGAGAUGGGGUCUGCUUUGUUGCCCAGGCUGGCCUUGAACUCCUAACCUCAAGUGAUUCUCCUGCUUCAGCCUCCCAAAGUGCUGGGAUUUUAGGUUUGAGCCACUGCUCACUGCCAAAAUUUUAAAAUCUGUGAAUAUUAUGGACACAUCUACAUGUCUAACUCCUCAUAACUGUGGUUUUCAACAAGAAGUAUGUGUUGGCAUUAGUGCAGUACUUGUUCGGGUUUCCCUGUGAUUCUUGGAGACAAGAACCAACGCAUCUGUGUAAUUUUUUUAUCUAAAUCUAAACUUUAUAUCUGAAGAAAGUAAUGUUUAUUGUGACGAUAGUGGUUACAAUAAAUUAAACCAUGUAAUUUUAUUAGAUUUGGUGACUAACUUUAUUAACAUACUUCUGUAGGGAGAUAAAGAAAAAACAGGCACUCUUAUACACACACAUACAUACAGUUAAACUAAGUAUUAUAAUUGCCAUUAAUUCUCAUAGGGAAAGGCAAUUUACGCAUUUCCAAAUACCAGCUAAAAAUCUCUACGUGCAAUUCUAAAAAUCCUAAAAUUCAGUAUAUCCAAACUGAAAACCAUCAAUUUCCCCAUCCAACCGUGAGUUAUCUCCUGGACUCCUCUGAGAAUUAACAGUGUUUCAUUCUACUUUAAAGAAACUGAAAUUUAAUAUUGUAGAUGAUGCUGUAUGAGGGAGGCAUAAGCAUGAAAGAGGACAAGGAACUGCAUCUGGGAACUCUUCUUAGUAGAAAAGCUUUGUUCUUCCUCAUGAAAUUGGUGAAAAGAUGCACAUUUUUGUUUUGUGACUAAAAUUUUAAAUAAUUAACCAACCAAAUAUUUUGAUUAGAAAACUAAAUAUACAUCCUAGUUGAAUCAAUAAAAGAGCUUCCACUGUACACUUUACUCUCCCAGGCACUUAGGCUUAAAACUCCAAAGUAACAUUUACUGAACUUUGUUUCCAAAUUGUGUCAAUAAAUCUAAAAUAAACGUUUAUGUUACACUAGGCUUAGUAAUUGCCGCAAGUUAUUCCUCUCUCUUAGAAAAUUAUAAUGCAUGUUGUCAUAUUAAAGACUCUGAGAGGUCCUUCAGGAAAAAUAUUAACUAUUUAACCUUACAAAAACUAGUGUUUCUUUCAAACAAUUUUUGACAAUAAAAUGCCUGCCUCCACAUUCUUUUACAAAUUUAUGCUGUUCAAAACUAGGUAAGGAAUGCAUUCCAGAAUUGCUUUGCUUCUCUCACCUCUCACAUCUAGGUACAGUCACACUCCGCAUCAUGACGCUUCAGUCAACUACGGAUUUCAUACACGACUGUGGUCCCAAAUCAUUUAAUGGAGCUGAAAAUUUUCUGUCACCUAGUGGCAUUGUAAUGUUAAGAGCAAAGCAUUUGCUCACAUGUUUGUGUGAUGCUUUGUGGUAAAUAAACCUACUGCACUGCCAGUCAUACAAAAGUAAAUACAUACAAUUAUAUACAGUGAAUAAUAUUUGAUAGUAAAUGACUAUAUUACUGGUUAUUUACUACACUGUACUUUUUAUCAUUAUUUUCUAAUAUAUACCUUACACUUAAUUUUUUUAAAUUAGCUGUAAAACAGCCUCAAGCAGGUCCUAAAGGAGGUAUUCUAGAAGACAUCAUUAUCAUAGGCGAUGACAGACCUUACAGUGGGGCAAGAUGUUGGAGUGGAAGGUAGUGAUAUUGGUGAUCCUGACCCAGUGUAGGGCUUGGUUAG
RNAcentral lists this long non-coding RNA (3020 nucleotides) under Homo sapiens (human). RNAcentral describes it as "HSALNT0077384". The record is from RNAcentral. Lineage: Eukaryota; Metazoa; Chordata; Mammalia; Primates; Hominidae.